RNAcentral lists this small RNA (113 nucleotides) under Salmonella enterica. RNAcentral's name for it is "partial RtT sRNA". It matches the Rfam family "RtT RNA", at positions 1 to 111 of the family's 130-position model. Rfam says of the family: This family represents a bacterial cis-regulatory element known as RtT RNA. The exact function of RtT is unknown although it is thought that it may be involved in changing the cellular response in relation to amino acid starvation. Lineage: Bacteria; Pseudomonadati; Pseudomonadota; Gammaproteobacteria; Enterobacterales; Enterobacteriaceae. RNAcentral also lists the same sequence under 2 other names. The record is from RNAcentral.
AUAUCUCUCUGUACGGGAAGGAUGAGAAGCUUCGACCAAGGUUCGAUUCGAGCGUCAGCGAGAAAGCGUUGCCGCAGGCAACGACCCGAAGGGCGAAGCGCGCAGCGCUGAGU